This 642-nucleotide long non-coding RNA is filed under the name Ricinus communis (castor bean). RNAcentral describes it as "long non-coding RNA (RCOM_LNC003109)". The record is from RNAcentral. Lineage: Eukaryota; Viridiplantae; Streptophyta; Magnoliopsida; Malpighiales; Euphorbiaceae.
AACUUCUACUCCCAUUGCACUUGUACUUGCAAUUCCUGAUCCACCUGCACCAGUUAGGACUACAAAAGAGCAGGAUAUGAUUGACCUUUUGAGUAUCGCCUUGUCAACAACAUCAACCUCCCAUCAAUCUGACACCCCUCACACUCCACCAGCCUCUAAUCAGAGCAUGCCUCAAGCACCCGUCUCCAGCACACAGGGCAAUACUUACGUUUCCCAAACUUAUCCUGGAAACCAAGGGCAGGCAGCAUUCAACAGUUACGUUGUUCCAUGGGCCCAGCCUCAACCACAGCAGCAGUUACAAUUUCCAUCUCAACCCCAUUCACAGACCCGAAUCCAGCAACAACUGCAACCUCAGCCCCAACUUCAUCCACAGGCUAUGUCCCAGUCCCAACCUCUGGCUCAGCAGCACUUUUCAUCUCAAUCUCAACCACAACCAUGUUCUCAACCUCAGCCUCAGCCUCAGCCUCUGCAACAAUUCCAAAAUCAGUUUCAGGAACAACCAUAUUCUCAGCCUCAGCCUCAACAAGCAUUCCAAAUUGAAUCUCAACAGCUACAUACUCAGCAAAAGCCUCAAGCUCAAAUUCAGCCUGUGCCCCAGCAAAAAUUCCAACCACAGCAUCAACAGCAAUUUCAGCAACAACU